RNAcentral lists this unclassified non-coding RNA (228 nucleotides) under uncultured fungus. Its description in RNAcentral is "sequence contains ITS1, 5.8S rRNA gene". The stretch from base 180 to 228 matches the Rfam family "5.8S ribosomal RNA", at positions 1 to 49 of the family's 154-position model. The record is from RNAcentral. Lineage: Eukaryota; Fungi.
UCUCCGUUGGUGAACCAGCGGAGGGAUCAUUACUGAGUGAGGGCUUCGGUCCGACCUCCAACCCUUUGUGAACCAAACUUGUUGCUUCGGGGGCGACCCUGCCGCUUCGGCGGUGCGGCGCCCCCGGAGGUCUUCUAAACACUGCAUCUUUGCGUCGGAGUUUAAAACAAAUUAAACAAAACUUUCAACAACGGAUCUCUUGGUUCUGGCAUCGAUGAAGAACGCAGC